AAGCGGAGGAAAAGAAACUAACAAGGAUUCCCCUAGUAACGGCGAGUGAAGCGGGAAGAGCUCAAAUUUGAAAUCUAGUAGCCUUCGGCUGCUCGAGUUGUAAUCUAGAGAAGUGUUUUCCGUGCCGGCCCAUGUACAAGUCCCUUGGAACAGGGCGUCAUAGAGGGUGAGAAUCCCGUCCUUGACAUGGACCCCCGGUGCUCUGUGAUACACUUUCAACGAGUCGAGUUGUUUGGGAAUGCAGCUCAAAAUGGGUGGUGAAUUCCAUCUAAAGCUAAAUAUUGGCGAGAGACCGAUAGCGAACAAGUACCGUGAGGGAAAGAUGAAAAGCACUUUGGAAAGAGAGUUAAACAGUACGUGAAAUUGUUGAAAGGGAAACGAUUGAAGUCAGUCAUGCUCUUUGGUAUUUAUAUCAUUGAGUGGGGUCAACAUCAGUUUUGAUCGAUGGAUAAAGGCACUAGGAAGGUAGCACUCUCGGGUGAACUUAUAGCCUAGCGUCAUAUACAUUGAUUGGGACUGAGGAACGCAGCAUGCCUUUAUGGCCGGGAUUCGUCCACGUACAUGCUUAGGAUGUUGACAUAAUGGCUUUAAACGACCCGUCUUG
RNAcentral lists this ribosomal RNA (604 nucleotides) under Cryptococcus sp. (in: basidiomycete fungi). Its description in RNAcentral is "eukaryotic LSU rRNA". It matches the Rfam family "Eukaryotic large subunit ribosomal RNA", at positions 48 to 656 of the family's 3401-position model. The record is from RNAcentral. Lineage: Eukaryota; Fungi; Basidiomycota; Tremellomycetes; Tremellales; Cryptococcaceae.